Molecule: ribosomal RNA, 334 nt
Filed under: Thaumatococcus daniellii
Lineage: Eukaryota; Viridiplantae; Streptophyta; Magnoliopsida; Zingiberales; Marantaceae
Description: SSU rRNA
Rfam family: Eukaryotic small subunit ribosomal RNA
Source: RNAcentral
ACUGAUGUAUUCAACGAGUCUAUAGCCUUGGCCGAUAGGCCCGGGUAAUCUUAGAAAAUUUCAUCGUGAUGGGGAUAGAUCAUUGCAAUUGUUGGUCUUCAACGAGGAAUUCCUAGUAAGCGCGAGUCAUCAGCUCGCGUUGACUACGUCCCUGCCCUUUGUACACACCGCCCGUCGCUCCUACCGAUUGAAUGGUCCGGUGAAGUGUUCGGAUCGAGGCGACGGGGGUGGUUCGCCGCUCGCGACGUCUCGAGAAGUCCACUGAACCUUAUCAUUUAGAGGAAGGAGAAGUCGUAACAAGGUUUCCGUAGGUGAACCUGCGGAAGGAUCAUUG